GUGGACCUACGGGAGGCAGCAGUGGGGAAUAUUGGGCAAUGGGCGCAAGCCUGACCCAGCAACGCCGCGUGAAGGAAGAAGGCUUUCGGGUUGUAAACUUCUUUUCUCAGGGACGAAGCAAGUGACGGUACCUGAAGAAUAAGCCACGGCUAACUACGUGCCAGCAGCCGCGGUAAUACGUAGGUGGCAAGCGUUAUCCGGAUUUACUGGGUGUAAAGGGCGUGUAGGCGGGGACG
This 236-nucleotide ribosomal RNA is filed under the name uncultured bacterium. RNAcentral's name for it is "partial 16S ribosomal RNA". It matches the Rfam family "Bacterial small subunit ribosomal RNA", at positions 331 to 583 of the family's 1533-position model. The record is from RNAcentral.